This 497-nucleotide ribosomal RNA is filed under the name uncultured bacterium. RNAcentral describes it as "partial 16S ribosomal RNA". It matches the Rfam family "Bacterial small subunit ribosomal RNA", at positions 28 to 507 of the family's 1533-position model. The record is from RNAcentral.
GACGAACGCUGGCGGCGUGCCUAAUACAUGCAAGUUGAGCGAUGAAGAUUGGUGCUUGCACCAAUUUGAAGAGCAGCGAACGGGUGAGUAACGCGUGGGGAAUCUGCCUUUGAGCGGGGGACAACAUUUGGAAACGAAUGCUAAUACCGCAUAAUAACUUUAAACAUAAGUUUUAAGUUUGAAAGAUGCAAUUGCAUCACUCAAAGAUGAUCCCGCGUUGUAUUAGCUAGUUGGUGAGGUAAAGGCUCACCAAGGCGAUGAUACAUAGCCGACCUGAGAGGGCGAUCGGCCACAUUGGGACUGAGACACGGCCCAAACUCCUACGGGAGGCAGCAGUAGGGAAUCUUCGGCAAUGGACGAAAGUCUGACCGAGCAACGCCGCGUGAGUGAAGAAGGUUUUCGGAUCGUAAAACUCUGUUGGUAGAGAAGAACGUUGGUGAGAGUGGAAAGCUCAUCAAGUGACGGUAACUACCCAGAAAGGGACGGCUAACUACGUG